This 158-nucleotide ribosomal RNA is filed under the name Inocybe sp. PBM2863. Its description in RNAcentral is "5.8S ribosomal RNA". It matches the Rfam family "5.8S ribosomal RNA". From Rfam's summary of the family: 5.8S ribosomal RNA (5.8S rRNA) is a component of the large subunit of the eukaryotic ribosome. It is transcribed by RNA polymerase I as part of the 45S precursor that also contains 18S and 28S rRNA. Lineage: Eukaryota; Fungi; Basidiomycota; Agaricomycetes; Agaricales; Inocybaceae. The record is from RNAcentral. RNAcentral also lists the same sequence under 2 other names.
CAACUUUCAGCAACGGAUCUCUUGGCUCUCGCAUCGAUGAAGAACGCAGCGAAAUGCGAUAAGUAAUGUGAAUUGCAGAAUUCAGUGAAUCAUCGAAUUUUUGAACGCAUCUUGCGCUCCUUGGUAUUCUGAGGAGCAUGCCUGUUUGAGUGUCAUUA